This 463-nucleotide ribosomal RNA is filed under the name uncultured bacterium. RNAcentral's name for it is "bacterial SSU rRNA". It matches the Rfam family "Bacterial small subunit ribosomal RNA", at positions 331 to 792 of the family's 1533-position model. The record is from RNAcentral.
CCAGACUCCUACGGGAGGCAGCAGUGAGGAAUAUUGGUCAAUGGACGCAAGUCUGAACCAGCCAUGCCGCGUGCAGGAAGACGGCUCUAUGAGUUGUAAACUGCUUUUGUACGAGGGUAAACGCAGAUACGUGUAUCUGUCUGAAAGUAUCGUACGAAUAAGGAUCGGCUAACUCCGUGCCAGCAGCCGCGGUAAUACGGAGGAUUCAAGCGUUAUCCGGAUUUAUUGGGUUUAAAGGGUGCGUAGGCGGUCCGGAAGGUCAGCGGUAAAAGCCCGGGACUCAACCCCGGCGAGCCGUUGAAACUGUCGGACUAGAGACGGCGAGAAGUACGCGGAAUGCGCGGUGUAGCGGUGAAAUGCAUAGAUAUCGCGCAGAACUCCGAUUGCGAAGGCAGCGUACCGGCGCCGGACUGACGCUGAGGCACGAAAGCGUGGGUAUCGAACAGGAUUAGAUACCCCUGUA